This is a non-coding RNA of Ictidomys tridecemlineatus (thirteen-lined ground squirrel), 1688 nucleotides long. NCBI's taxonomy places the organism in Eukaryota, Metazoa, Chordata, Mammalia, Rodentia, Sciuridae. The record is from RefSeq and is a predicted model, not a curated record.
AUGCCAGAUUUCUCUUACUCCUUCUUUUAUUUUAAUAACAAACAUUUCACAUAAUUUAUUAAAUGGUUGUUUGUUUCUGUAUCUCAGACAAAUGUAAGCUUCCAGAGGGCAGAAAUGUGUUGUCCAUUUUUGUUCUCUGUUGAAUCCAAAGCACCUACAGCAAUACCUGGAACUGUAAAUAUUUGUUGUUGCAAUGAAUUAGUAGAACACACAAAGGAUAUGAGAAAGAUUCCUAAGGGCCAGGAUGGAGUUGCAUAUCUCAGAGUAACCAUAAAGUAUUUUUGUGGAAUAAAUGCCCCCAGCUCCAAAUCAAACUAUUAUUUUUACUACAUUAAGGAAAAUUUAUUUUUCACUUCCUAGUUUGUAAAUGCUUGUAUUUUGGAUUCUGUUACUUUCUGUUUGUAGAACACUGCCUCAGCCUUCCCCCAUGAGCAGUUUGAAACUAGUCUUACUUCCUAAAUAAAAUUGAGUUGGCUCCUAUUAAAAUAAAUAAAUAAAUACAAAUAAAUUGAAGGACACACAGGGGUAUAGACAUAGGUUCACAUCUGACUCUGCCUAGUCCUAUAAACAAUGAACUAUGAUCUUCGCUACCCUGAUCUUAACUCUGCUAAGUUCCUACCCAGUGAGCCAAAGCCCACAUUCACUAUAGCUCUUCUUUCUUCACUUUACUGUUCUCCCAUUUUUAGUUCACUCUUUGAAUCUCUGUCUCCUUCCAGUAUCCUAUUCAUAGGACCCAAAAAAGUCAGAAAGAACCAAAAAACAGCAUUUGGGUAGUAUAGAUGCCAGAUAGGAAAAUAGCUAAUACCUUUAUGACAUUUCUUUGUGAUCCACCUGUGGCUCAUAAUUGAGAGAGCCUCAAUCUGUAGCAUCUUGGCAAAAAUGGCAGAAUUGCUGCACGUGACUUCUGGAAAAAAAAAAUGUCCAUAGGUCACAAUCUAGGUUCUCCUGUACUAGAUCUCACACAAUUCUAGCUAAACUGACAUCUUAAGCACAGACAUUUUAUUACUUCACAAAAAGUUGUCUUAUUAAAUGAUAAAAUAGAAUUCCAUUUCAGUGAAGAUGUAGUUCUAGUUUUGGUUUUAAUUUUGAAAAUAUUAGCUGAAUUGUUCUUCCCCUUCUCCUUAUUUCAGGGAGAUGGCUGGGUUUAUCACAAACCCCUUUGGAAGGUAAUUUCAACAGCACAAGCAGCAGAGUGACACAUGCUCUUUUAAGACUUGACCAAAUGAGGUUCUUCUCUGUUUACCCUCAACCUUCCUGGACUGGAUUCAUUGCACUGAGUGACCUGCUUCCUGAUUGCACAGACAGAAAGUAACUGAACUUGAAUAUACCUACUUGGGCACUAUUAUACUGCAGCAAGACCAAAGUGUUAAAGAAACACGAGGGACCUCUCACCAACCUGUUCAUGUGAUGGGCAGCGGAUACACACAACAGUGAGGACUCAGUGACUUUGAUUUCUUUGUAGUGAAAAGUGAAGUGUCUUCCAGAGUUUGUGUUUUGCUUUCUAUCCAUAACUGAAGUAUUCACUACUCUUAUAAACCAACCAAGAGGAGGAAGAACAUGACCCAGAAGUGGAUUCAGCCGUUGUGCCUGAAAUCAGUGUUAUUUAAAAAAAAAAAAUCACCAGAUUGUAGUAACAAGGCAUUCUUUUUCUUCAAAAAGACUGUGUGCCUGUGUCUGAGGAACUUAUC